AGUUUGAUCAUGGCUCAGAAUCAACGCUGGCGGCGUGCCUAACACAUGCAAGUCGAACGAGAAAGUCCCCGCAAGGGGAUGAGUAAAGUGGCGACCGGGUGAGUAACACGUAGCUAACCUACCCUCGAGUGGGGGAUAACCUGGGGAAACCUGGGCUAAUACCGCAUAAGAUCCUGAUGGCGUCAGUCGUUGGGAGCAAAGGCCCGCAAGGGUCGCUGGAGGAGGGGGCUGCGGCCGAUUAGCUAGUUGGUGAGGUAAUGGCCCACCAAGGCGAUGAUCGGUAGCCGGCCUGAGAGGGCGCACGGCCACACUGGCACUGACACACGGGCCAGACUCCUACGGGAGGCAGCAGUGGGGAAUUUUGCACAAUGCCCGAAAGGGUGAUGCAGCAACGCCGCGUGAGGGAUGAAGGCCUUCGGGUCGUAAACCUCUUUCGAUCGGGAAAAAUGGUCUCGAGAAGAUCGGGAUCUGAUGGUACCGGAAGAAGAAGCCCCGGCCAACUACGUGCCAGCAGCCGCGGUAAUACGUAGGGGGCGAGCGUUGUUCGGAAUUACUGGGCGUAAAGGGCGUGUAGGCGGUGUGGUAAGUUGGGCGUGAAAUCCCCGGGCUUAACCCGGGGGGG
RNAcentral lists this ribosomal RNA (622 nucleotides) under uncultured bacterium. RNAcentral describes it as "bacterial SSU rRNA". It matches the Rfam family "Bacterial small subunit ribosomal RNA", at positions 10 to 622 of the family's 1533-position model. The record is from RNAcentral.